RNAcentral lists this long non-coding RNA (42738 nucleotides) under Theobroma cacao (cacao). RNAcentral's name for it is "long non-coding RNA (TCAC_LNC001264)". Lineage: Eukaryota; Viridiplantae; Streptophyta; Magnoliopsida; Malvales; Malvaceae. The record is from RNAcentral.
UAACCCUAUUAUAUUCUUACCUAAAUAUGAGAGGCGCGGAUGGAUAACUCCUAAGGUUAACACUUUAGAGUUCACUUCACGUCAAACCACCACGUGAGGGUGAACUUAGCCAACGUCAAGGAACGAUUAUGUUUUUAAAAUAAAAACCUGAUUUAUGCAUACAUAACUUUUUAACAGUCUUGGCGAACUCGGUUGGGAUAGCCCUCGAUCAAGGUAUCCCUAAUAACUGGGUAUGAGAAUGAUUUUGGCACGAGCCAAAGUUUUAAGAAAUUCAUAAGCCAUGUUGAUUUCUCGGAUUAUAUGAAUUUAUUUUAUUUGGUUGAAACAAGUUGAAAGGUGAUGAAUUACAAUAUGUUAAACCAUUUUAUUUUUCUCCAUUUACUUGGCUUUAGAUAUUUUAGAUGGUAUUUGUUUACUCAUCGGGAUUAUAUAAUCUCACCACCCUCUUUUUCACCCAUUUCAGGCUCAGAAUAGGCUGUAGAUAGCUGAUUUUAUCGAAGCUACCAUUGGAUUUGCAUCCUCCAAACUGUAGGUACACAAUCUUCCUUACUUUUAGUUAUUCGAGGGCCCACUGGUUAUUGUAAAUUAAGUUAAAUACUUUGGCUUACUGUAUUACAAUAUGUAUGAAUUUAUUUUGCUUUUACGUUGCUACAAAAAAAUUAUUUACGUAUAACUCUAAUGAUAUUGUUUUAUAAGAAAAUAAAAUAUUUUAUUAAAUAUUUUUUUUAUUUUUUUAUUAUAUCCAAAUAAUAAUAAUUUCAUUUUAAAUGAAGGUUUUAGAUGUUUAAACUUAUUUUUUAUUAUGAAUUAUGCAUUUUGUACUCGCAUACUACAUUUUUAACGGAUUUUGAGAUUAAUGAGGAAAAAUGACCAAAAUGCCCUGUGAGAAAAAAUUUGUUUUUCUAUUGUUUUAAUUUGAAAAUAGUUUAUAAUCUCUCAAAAAAUAAUUUUAGUGACUAAUACUCACAGGGGAAGCGAGAAAAACUGAUGUUAAGCCUUGCGAGGUUUCGAUUGACAUUUCGGGUAAUUAAUGUCUAUCGGGACAUCGCGAUGGUUGUCACGGGCUCGAUGGGAGUUCCGAGUCGUGACAAAACAGUCAACCCUCAAUCCUAUCCCUUUGUCUGAUUUUGACCCAUGACUUCACUCUUAGCCAUAGCUUUUAAUUUGAAUUUUAUUGAGCUAUUUGAUAGAACCAUACCUUUUGCUCCUUUUUGAGAUUUGUCUUUGGGUGUUGCAAACUCAUCAUUGCUUUCGCUCUUCCACCACUACUACUAUUGCAAUUGGUGAUCACCGACCCCUUGAAUCUCUCUUCAGCAUUCAUUGAAUCUUUUCUUGUGCAAUAUGCCUCCAAUUGUAACUUGUUUUGACACUGACUAUAUUGACCCGUAUACUAAGUUUCUUGCCUACAACUUCCAUAUAAAAUCCAUUAAGGAUAAAAAAUCUACUCUUACCUUAACCAAUAUAAAUGCUUCAUCAAACCUCUCCCUUUUAAAAGUACCUUUAUCCACCGUUAGGAACUCCCUCUAACACUUUCCAAUGGUCUCUUGAAUGUGUUGAUGUCCCAUGCAUGAAUGGACACUUCACAUAAUCGGACCCAUAGUUUAACCUCCCUUGUAUCAUUAAGAAUUGAGACAAGAAUUAAUGAUUUGAACCACUUCUCCGUCAGCUUUAUUAGCCUUGAGUUACAUUAUGUUUGGAUUUGACAAAAAUCAUAUGUUAUCUUAAAGUUAAUAUCCAGCAUUUGAAAUUGUCUCAAAUAUAUUUUUAAUCCAUUAAGGUUACAUAUUUGUUUGAAAAGCCACGUAUCAUUAGAAAUCACCUUAUAAGCUUUCAAACCAUGCAUAUGCAGCUAAGAAUGCAAGAGCAAACAUGCCUUGAAUUGUCGUUUAAUUAUAAAAACAAGGCAAGGAAGAAGUAACUGGAGAGAAACACCAAAAAGUUAAAGAAACCUCAAGACACAAGUCAAGAGUCGAUCCUAAAAAUGCUCAAGUCGAUCUAAAGGCUGAAAAGUGCAAAACUUGAAUAAUAUAAAGCCAUAAUUGACCUUAAAGUGCCUAUAGUCGACCUUGUUCCAAAAAGAUCAAGAAAAUCAAGUUUUGAAUAGACAUAGUAGAUCUUGGCCAAAGCAUAAUCGACCUUGACAAGUUAAAAACAAAGAAAAGUCAACUUUACAUAACAUAAUCGACUAUAAAGGAAACAUAGUUAACUAUAGUAGUCCAAACUUGCAAAAAACAUGCUUUCGAGAGUUAGAUCAACUAAAGGAAGGUUACAUUCAAUUAUAAAAGUCCUAAUUUGAGAAAUUUUAAGAACAUAGUUGACCCUAGGAGCUUUAUAGUCGACCUUUAAGCUUUAACAAUGGUUAAAUUUGAUUCAAACUUGUGUCAAACGGCUCCAAACUCUGCCUCAGCCAUAAAUAAACGUAUUUGAGCCAUUUGGAAGUAAGAGAAGACUUAAACCAAAGCUUCAAACCUUGAAAGACCAUUAAAAGCUCAUCUUCAUGCUCUAGCAUCUUUGUAGUCUUCCACUUAACUUGCAAAGUUGAAUACGUGCUUCAUUUGAGCUUAUCAUUCUUUUCUUACUACAUCUAAGCUAAAAUCUCUAGCAUCCAACCUUUGCAAGGCAAAUCUUCGCUAUUAUUUAUUUGUACACACAUCUCAUAAAGGCUCUAGCUUAAUCUUGAAAAGCUAUUUGUGAGGGUUUGUUGUUGAGCUUUAAAAACCAUUAUUGUUGGGUUAUCAUUUCAUCUCGUUAAACAGUAAGAAUCCCUUUGUGGAUUGUGUAAAGGUUAUUGCUUAAUCCCGUGAAAAAGCUAUUGGAAGGAUUGUUGCUUGAUCCCAUUAGAAAGAAAGAAUCCAUUUAUGGAUUAUAUGAGGGUUAUCGCUUUGUUCCGUUAAAAAGUAAGAAUCCUUGAUAGUGGAUUGAAAUUCUUUGUUUUCCAAAGGAGUGGAUGUAGACAUCAAAAAAGCUAAACCAUUAUAAAUUCUUUGUCUCUUUCUAAUUUUUUCUUUAUUAUUUAUUGUUUAUAUUUGCCUUAGGAAAAUAGUUUUAUAUUGAUUUUUUAUUUUACACUUAGAAAAAUAUUUUUCCUUUUACUUUUCAUAGCUAGCAUUUAACUUAGAAAAAAUAUUUUAUCUUAGUGUAUUAUUUUUGCGCUUAGUGAUUUAUUGUUGGAAGAUUAUUUUUUGAUGCUAGGAAAUAUUUUUUGCUGAAAAAGUUUUGAUCUUUAUAACUAGAUUUUUAAAAAAAAUUUAUAAAUACCAAUUCACCCCUUCUUGGUACACUUCACUUUGAGACUUCUACACUAACAAGCUCCUAGUAAUGUUCGAUCAUAACCUUUAUCUCACCUAGUUCUUCAAACAUUACAAGGAUGGUCAUCCUUUUUAAAACUCUAACUUGAACAUUAACUCUUUCUCUAUUCAAUCCAGAUUGAAUUGCAUUGUAAUCCACCUUUUUUUUUAAUGUUCCCACUGCACUUUUCUGCACCCACUCCAUAUCCUCGUCGGGGACAUUUGUGCUAACUACAACUACAUUAAUUGUGCUUUUUUUUUUGUUGCCAUUCCUCUAUUCUUGCUCCACUUCUAUUUUUGCAACUUUGGGUCCACCUUUUGGUCCGCUACCUCUUUUAAGCACUUCUCUAUAUUUAUCUUCUCAAUAAGUUUAGCCUUAUAUUAUUCUUUCUCCCUUGCUUCUUUGCUCGCCACUACUUCCUUGUAUGACCGCCCACCAAACCCUUAUCCCAUGAACUUAGGUUAUGAACCUUUAUUUCCUUGAUCUUCAAAUCCUUUCUCAACGACUUGAUUCUCCUCACCGCUAGACACUUCCCAUCCAUCCACUGAUGACCUCCCCAUUUUAAUGCCUUUUCUAGUUUUUAACUUUCCUUAUACUUGAUGAAGGCAAAGUUUGCCUCCCUCCUUGAAUCUUGGUGAACUUUCCUUAGGAUGAAAACAUCAACCACAUUCUCAUAUUCCUCAAAGGCUCCCUCGAUAGUUAAACAAGUUAGUCUUUUACUCAAAUUAUCCAUAAACAAAGAUUGAAGACUAUCCAACCAUCUUCUACCAAUUCUCCUCUCAUCUCCGAUCAGCCUUUAACACGUAUAAAUUCACCAAUUAUUGAAUUGAUGCAUUCAUUUUUCUCUUUUAUUUUUCCUUUAGUUUUCAUUGCUUCAACCUUUUUUUUUUCUCUCUCAAGUGUUGAAUUUCGCUCUUUUUCUCACAAGUUCUCUCUUUAUGUUCUUUUUUUUUUUCUUUUGGUAUCUAUCUUUCUUCUCUUUUCCCAUCGACUUAUCUCUUCAUCCCUUCCCAAUCCUUUUAAGGUAACAAGAAAUCCUUGCCUUAGUCUAUCCCAUCCCCACACUCGCUAAAGCACUCAUGCACUUCCCCUUCAGCUCAAUAACCCCACUUUAAUCUCCCUUUAAGUUCACCAUAUACAUGACUUCUCUCUUCCCUCUCCCAUACAAACGUCCUCCACCUUGAAGCUCAACAUUCAUACACACGAGUACAAAACCCUUCCUCGACACACCCUUCCCUUUGUUUGGUUGCAUGUUCCAUUUGCUGUAUGAAAGGUAAUGGCAACUAAGAGUUUUUCAAAGGAAGAACAAACUAAUGACUAAUGUGUUUAAGUGGGAGAUGUUGGAAUCUAGAUCGAGUCAAGUGGAUUCUAACUCAUUCAUACAUCUACAUAAAGCAUAACUUUAGUUCCUAUUUAGAGUUGUUAACUCUUAAUUAGAGUUAAAGUCAGAAUCCAUUCCUGAUUUCUGAUAUUUGCUAUAUAAAUAGACACAUAUACUUUUGAAAAUUAAAUCAAAUGAAAAUCUCAAUAACACUAGUAAUAAUUUUCUCUUCUAAACUCUCUUUUGUUUAAUCUUUGGAUGUCCACCAAAAACCUUAGAAUUUGGAGUGUAGAAAUUUGUGGACAACGCUAGUAAAGACUUUGUACACAAGGAGAUUAAAAAGUUAUACAAUAGUAUACCAAGAAUACAUCUUUGGAGGUUCGUAUAACAUAUAUCGGUUACUUGAUUUGGGAAUUUGGAUUGGCAUUAACCUAUUAGUUUGCUUCACUUCCAAAUGUGAAAAUGAUUAUUUUUAGGGAUUACAUGAAAAGUUAACAUAUCUUUACAUUUUAUUACCACUAAGCUUUACUAUCUUACCAGAAAAAAAAAAAAAGCCAUACUAUUGUUUUUCCUUCUCUCUUGUCAGCAACUUAGUUCCCAUUUUCAGUCAAUCAUGGCAUAAAUAUAAAAACAAGGAUAGGCAAACAUCCCAAAAUGCACGGUCGUAUUAUGCAUCGAAGGAGUGAUAUAUGACAAUUUUUUAAUUGGACGUACCAAUGUAUUUGACUAUGCAUUUAGAAAUUUGAAACAUGACAUUUUGGGAACAAAUUAAGUCGACCAGCAUAUCUUCACAUCUGCAUUCUUUCACGUGAUCCUACAACAAACCAAUGAGAUCAGAUUAUGCUAAUCGCAACAGCCCUCUGCAUCUGAAUGCCUUGGGAAGUUGGAAUGAUGCAUUUGAAGAUUUAAUUUUUAAAGACUGAUAGUGCAUUUUUGGGGAACAAAAAGAUUUUCUGACAUCUGAUCCAACUUGCAUCAGCAAGAUUCUAUUUAUUAAAAUAUGGAUAAACUUGUAUUUAUUUAUAUAAGAUAAAAUUCAAAAACUAAAGCUGUCAACGUCCCCAACAAACAAAGGGGUGCUAGAAGUCAUUACCAAUUGAAGAACCUAAGGAAGAUGAUCCAUACCGGAAAAUUGACUUUAAGGGCACUCAUUGCUCUUUUUCAGACUUUUUCAUUGUUGGGAUUCAAACCCAGUUGUCACGCAGACAUAAAGUUAACACAAAUUCUUGGGUUUUACACAAAAAAAUUCAUCUUUUCACCAUUCUUUUCUGCUGGUGGAUUCUUCAAAGUUUGGUUCCGAGUGGUUCUUCAAGAAGCACACAAAUCAAGGCAACCUUUGUCAUGCAUAACCGUCUGUUUUUCUUUCACAUGUCCUAAUACUUUCUUCAACUUCAUGUUAGACGGCAAGAAGUUCGAUUAGUUAACCUUGUGAAGCACAUCACGUGGAUACCAUGCACAUUGUUAAUUAGCUCAAAAAUGGCUUCUCAAACCAGUAUUAGUUGUUGGGUGUUUCGGGAAAAAGAAAAGAACUUUUGAAUUUAAAUAGUCGACAUAACUGGUUGAUCAAGAGAAGCCGGCAAGGUAAAAGAGGUGUCAGAAACACAUGUCCCAAUUCAAUUUCCCAUCGGGGCCCUCUAAACUCAAGCCGCCCCAUCCCUUGCCUGGUGGUACGUGGCGUUAGGAAAUACUCAUCGCUGUGGGGGCAAAGGCCAAAUGGCUAGUGACGAACGAAAAAACAUGCAACUGCAUAGUACCAUUUGUGAGUUACCCGAAGAGUGAAUAAAGGACAAGCAUAUCUGAUAUUACAGCAUAUAAAUUUGCUUACAAGUGGAACUUAAACUUUGUGCAGUAAUAAGAGGAGUGCGGAGUGAUAUCCUAGAGGUAAGGUGCGGAGCAAAAGGGCUAAAUCAUUAACUUAAUAGAGUGACGACCAAAAUGACUGAUCUUCCACCGGUAAUGCAAAAUUACAUGAACUGGCCGGUGCGUCAUAGUAACAGUCAACUUCAAAUUUUGGGAAGAAUGGUGGGUGCAGAAGGCUCUUGCUGAGAUUAUCUUCUUCGUCUUGGGAAAAAUCCGAUUGAUCUGGCUCAAAAGCAUUGGAUGAAUCCGCAGGCUCUAUCAAUGAAGAAUGAUUCCCAUCUGUGUAAUGAGGGCUAUCUGAGUCAAAAACAUCACUCUUAGCUGAACAUGCUUCUUCCUGUUUGCAGGCCGGCGAUGGCACACGAGACACAUUUUCAGGAGAUGUAUCACAAUUGGGUUUUUUGGAUUCUGCAUUAGAUGAAUUUAUGGCAUCAAGAGAUCCCGAAUUUUCCAUCCCUUCCUCUCCAUUAAGCAGUUUCUCUUUGAGUGCAAGCACCUGUUGCAUAGCAAAAUAGAACCAUCAGUUUUGAGUAAUUACUGGAGCUAAUUACUAAUUUAAAAUAGCAAAUGCUGAGUUGUCUUAGGUGAAAGGUUUACCUCAUUUCCCAAAUCCUCCUUCUCCUUAAGGAGAUUGUCAUAGUCAGUCUUGAGCUCAUCAUAGCUGGCUUUCAAGGAAUCAUAGUCCUUUUCCAGCUGUUUGUUCUUAAAUCGAGCACGCCGAUUUUGAAACCAAAUUGCAACUUGGCGGGGCUGUAAGCCAAGUUCUUUUGCAAGUUGCACUUUUCUCUCUGGUUCAAGUUUGUUCUCAACCUCAAAGCUCCUCUCAAGAAACUGAACUUGGGUAGCUGUAAGCCGCCUUUUCUUUGCUGGUGGGCGAUAUGAUCCAUGAAAAUCAUCAUCUCCACUCUCUUCUUUGUCAAGCGGUUGGAAGAAUAGCAUAUCUGUGGUCUCGACUCCAUUAACAUUCUCAUAAUUAAUGAUAGGCUUCUGACCUAAUUAAAUCAGAGACCAUAGACACAAAAAAUCAGAUGAAUCUAACCGUUUCUAAUUUGUAGGAGCAAUAUAUAAUACCAAUCUUCUGAUCUUUUUACAAAGUUCAUUAUCAGGUAUUCUCAAGGAAGGAUUUUUCAUGGCUUUUUUUUUCAAUUCAGAUAUAGUGAUCUAACAUGCUUUAUCACAAAGCAGAUCAUAAAUGGAGUUCCCCAUUCUGUUUCAGUUCAAAAUGUUGACGUCCGGAGUCAAAGAAAGAGAUUUUAAUAACCAAAGAUGGAAACAACACAAAGUGCAAUAAGAAGAACUUUAUGUAAUGGCUUCAAACUUUUCCUUUUUACUACUAAGUCUACUAAGUCUUACAAAUUACGAUGGUUACUCUGUUUAAAAAGAGAUAUGAAGAAGCUAAAGACUUUGUUGUUGAUUAACUUUCCUACUCCCAAAAAAAUCAUUCAACAGCAUAACAUAAAUCACAAUAAGAAGCAAGUAAAGGAAAAUAAAAUUGGGAAAAUCUCAAGCUACAUGAAAAACAAGAACAGUCCAACUUUGACACAAGAAUGGACGCCAACAAGCAACCAGACAAAACCCAUUACUAAAAUUUAAAUAUACAACAAUCAAAAAGAAAAUCAAAAGCAAAGAACAAGAGAGAUAAUAGCUCUCAAAGACAAAAGAAGCAGCAACAGAAAAAAAAAUAGAUGCAGAGAGGAAAACAAAAUUACCCCGGAGAGCAGAGGUAGAUGAGGGUAUCCACAAAGAUUCCAUAACCUCAGAGGAACAAGAAAGCUGUUCACUAUGAAUCAAAGCAUUCAUGUUUGAGCUACCACAGAUUUUUCCACCCUCCAUAGUCGCCUUUGGUUUUUAUUAUCUUUUUGUGUGUGGUUUUGUGGGAUUCCCAGAGGCCUAAAAGAUUAUAUCUUUGAGAAAAGAAACAUUAAUCGUGUGUUUCAGUUUGAUCUAUGACUUGUCAUGCAAAAAAUUGUGAUGGGAAUCACUGUAAUGUGGAAAACUGGAAAGCAAGAAAAGCUUAUAUCCAUAACUCAGUAGAAGAGACACUGGCCAAGCUUCAAACUUUAAAUCCAGAGAAGAAAAAGGAAAAAACUAGUUCAGCUUUCAAAUUGAGUGACAGAGAGCUUGAAAGUUUUCUUUUUCAAGUAGUGUUCCAAGCACAGGGAGCUUGUGUAAAAUAAAAGUUGAAAACUUGAAGAGAGAUUCCCCUUGGGAGACUGUGGUGGCAAGGGCCUGAUGGGGGUUUAAAUGAAGCUUGGGGUGAAGGGACAGAGGGGGGAGCUUGGCCUUUUUUUUUUUUUUUUUUUUUUUUUUUCUUUUUGGAGAUAGUAGACGGGCUGAAAAUGGAGUUACCAUAUUGUCCCUACGUUCUUCAUUUCUGGUAUUAAUAAUUUAAUUUAAACAAAAUACCAUAGCCCAUUUUCUCUUCAUUUUUAAUUUAUUAGUAUUUAUUAGUUACUCGUAUAAAGUACAUGGUCUGUAUUUUAUUUUUUUUUCAAUUUUCCUUUUCUAUACGAAGAAGAAAAAUCUUUUUUUUUCUUUUGGGUGCACAAAGAUGUCACUUAAGAUGUGAUUUGUUUGAAGUUCUUGAAUAUUUAACCAAAACCAGUUAUCUGUCAAUCUAGAUGCAGUUCAGCAUGAGUGUUGAAGCAGAUUUUUUGGGAAAUUAUUUGGUAACCAGGUGCCCAUAAGCUUUAGAAUUGGGACCAAGAAUUAAAGAAUUCCACCUCUCUCCUUUGCAGCCAGUCCUCUCUAGCAGAUUCAAUUGUCAUAAAAGAUCAAAGUUAUUGAGAUAGUCUCUGUCAUUCAUACCAAAAUGUCAACUUUCCUCAGGAAAAUUACAUAUUCCUGCUCGAAUAGUGAUGGUUAGAUGAUCUAAGCAAUUGCUACAAGGAAAGAAGUUUGUUUGAACCAGAAAAGAAGAUGGUGUCUGGAAUCUGGAUCUUUCCAAAAGAAGGCGACAGAGGACCACAUUUUUUUUUCUUCCUGUAAUUUAUUUUUGGAACUUCUUUGUCUGCGUUUGAACCAGAAUUAGGACAAGUUGUUUGGGGCAGUACAUUGAACUUGAGAAAGUUCCCGAAAAAAAUAUCUUCCAAGUUGGCAGGAUUGGUUUGGUUAAACCAUCAUCAUGUAGUUCAUCAAGGAAGCACCCCAAUUUUUGGGUCAUUUUGUGCGUGAUUCACUCACUCUACACAAAACGGGAUAAGGGAAAUAUUUUUUGGGUGCAUAUUUAUUUUACCUACGUAUGCUUGUAUUGAAUUUUAGAAAUGAUAAAAGUAUUCCACAUUAGUCUCACUAUUAGUAAAUUUAUAAUAUAUAUAUAUAAAAAUAUAGAUAUCAAAAUUUUUUUGAUUGAUCAAAAUAAUCAUAUUUAUUCAUUAUAUAUCUAAAAUAUCAUUUUAAAUAUUUUAUAUUAUUUAAUAUUAAUUCGAUUUAUCUAAUUUAUAAAUAUAUAAAAAUUAUAGUUCUAUGGAAUGACUUUUUAUAUUAAAAAUAUUAAUAAAAUUUAUUCAAAUUGCAAAUAAAAAUUUUAAUUGCAUUAAAUGAUUUUUAUUAAAAAAUAAUUUUUAAUUCUAAUAGGAUUAGUAAUUUAUAGAUUAAUAUUACAAAAUUUCAAUUAUAUAAUUAAAAUGUUAAUUGUUUUUAAUAUAUAAUUGUCUUUCAAUGACUGUUGUCUUUUAUUUAUAAACAAUUACCAUUACAUUUUAGAAUUAUUUACAUUUUAUAUUAAUUAUUAUUUAAAAAUAUAUAAAAAAUCAAGUAUUCAUGUGACAAUAAAUGUUAAUAUUUAAAAAUUAUUAUUUUAUUAUCUUAAUAUAUACUAUUUGUAAGUAAUUAGACAUUAUAUACCUUAUGAUUUUUUUCUCGAAUAAUUUAUAAUAAUAAUAAUAAUAAUAAUAAUAAUAAUAUAAUGACACGAUCCAUUUUGCAUUUUACAUUGGUGUUGCUGUUGCAUUACUAUGACUUAUGAAAUUGGGAAGACCGAUAGCAUAGCAUAAAUUUUGCUUUCUUAAAAUAAUUAGAACCUUGGUGGGAGAUCAAAAUAUGAUUAACAAUUUGUUCCGAAAUCAGAGAAAAAAAAUUAGUAUAAUAUUUGAAAAAACUCUUGAAUUAAUAAAAAAAUUCAAAUAAAUUUUUUUCUUUUAUUUCAUUCAAUUAAAUUUUUAUUUUUAUUUUAAAUGAAAUAAAUUUUUAUAAUUAAUAGUUGACUAAGUUCCAUUGAUUUAAAUAUCACUUAUUAUUAUAUUCAUGUGACGUUGAUGGAGUAUUAAUAUGACAUUGACAUAAAAGAUAAAAAUGUCAUAUGAUCAUGUUAUUAUGUAACGUCAUUAUCUAUUAUGACAUAUCAGGAUAAUAUAUUAACAUCACAUAAUAUAAAUUGACAAAUGAUAUCUUCAUUAAUAACAAUUAAUAAAUUAUUAGUUAUAAAAAUUUAUUUAAUUUAUAAUAAAAAUAUAAAAAUUUUAUUAAAUAUAAUAAAAAAUAAUAAUUUAUUUAAAAUUUUUUAAAUAAUUUAAAAGCUUUUAUAGAUAUUAGAUUAUAAAAAUUUUCUUUUUAUUCGCUCAUUCUGUUUUUGGACACCGUGAAGGGCAAUAUAAAUAAUGGAAUAUAUGACGAUGGAAACUAAAAAAAAAUUAAAAGAGGAGAAAAAAAUGGGGUACAUGGGUAAAAGGGAAAAAAACAAAGAGGAGAGAUGUAGAUGACAACGAGGCCGAAAAAACAGAAGCAAGGGGUCCAAUCAAGUCACUAUCAGAUUUGGGAGCUCUUUGUAAAUGCGGGAGCCAGAGUCGAUGACUCACUACCCCUAUGCCCACCCCCCCCCCCCCCCCCCAGCCCCUAACCUAUAUGCCCCUAUAACCUUCACUUCAUCCCCCCCUGUCUAUCUCUCUCUCUCUCUCUCUCUCAUUCAAAGAUUUCAAUUUUCAAUUCGCCACCCUUUCAAACUUAAAAGCCCUUUUGUUCUAUUAUUAUUAGAUUUAAAAUAGAAAACCCUUUUGUUUUGUUGUGAAAUAGCCAGUGAACUUCCUCCCAUUGCCCCUCCGCGCGGGCGGCCUCUCUUCCUCCAUCCCAACCCACCGCAUAUGGAGUAGUAUUUAUUCUUUUACAACCCUGGAUGAAGAGUUUGCUAAUUUCUGUUUAUAUGAUUUGUCUUCACUGGACAAUAGAUUUCAAAUGCUUAGUUCAAAACUAUUUAAAAAACCUUAUUAACUAAAUUAACUAACAUUUUUAAUUGUAAAGCUCUUCUAAAUAUGAUGAGAUUGAUCACCUAAUGGAGCAUAAUAGAGACAGCUUAAGCUUUAUUGAAGGAAAAAAAAAUGGCUUUACGGAUUUUGGUUAAAGUCUUAAAGAUCAAUGCUAAGCUUUUGAUUCAAAACUUCUGUUGGACAUGAUAUAUAACAAAUCAAACUUUUGAGAUAAUUUAUUAUUUGUAUGUUGUUGGACACUUUUCGAACUUAAAUGUUAGUGCCAUUUUUUUGUGGUUAUAAUAUACAUAAAAAAAUAUAAAGAAAAUGAGAUUGGUUGUUGAAGCCAUGAGUCGAGCCAUCAUCUUCAAUCUACAUUGAGCACUUGCUAUAUAUCUACAAAAAGGCUUUUAACAGAUAUAAGCUCUUGAGAUUUACUAAUGCUGAUACACACCAACAGCUCAUUUCUACUUUUACUCGUGUAUUUAUGUAAAUUGCAAAAAUCUUAUGAUAUUAGGUUGAAAAUAUAUUUGUUUUUUGAUUAAAUACUUAAAUAAAUUCUUUGAAAUAUACUGAAAAAGUUAAUUAAAUCUCUAUCUUUUUAUUACGUUCAAAUAAAGAUCUGAAUUUUUAUUUUAGAUUAAAUAAGUUUCUCUCACUAAUUGUUGAUUAACUUUCGUUAGUUAAUGGUACAAUUAGUAAUUUUAUAUCACAUCAUCUGCCGCAGGGUAUAUUGACAUGUCAUUUUAUUUUAUUUGUGCAAAUUGAUAUUAAUUUCUAUACUAAAGAGAAACAACAAUUCUUCUCAAACUGUUCCUUUUCCUCCUUUUAAAUUUGCAACACCUUUCUUCAUUAUCUCUUGCCUCAAUAAAUAAUCUGUCAAAACUCUUUUUCCAGAAGAAGAAAAAAGAAUAUUGUUAUUCAAUUUUCUACUCAUGCAAGUGCACGUAUCGUAAAAAUAAUAUAGAGAUGAGUAGAGUGUCGAUCCCACAGAGAAUUGAAUUAAUCCUUAUUGUUAACUAUUAAAAUUAACACAUCUUAAUUUUAUCUAAACAAUUAAAAUUAAAAAAAAAUUAAAUUAAUAAAGUAAUAAUUAAAACUAAUAUAUCAACAAAUUUUACUUCUAGUGAUUAACGGAUCUAAGAUUAUGAUAUCCCUCAAUACUUCAUCUGAAUAUUAUCUCUCUCUCUCUUAACUCAGUUUAAUGGAUUAAGUUGCUAAUCUAAAGUCCUAAAUUAUUUACAAGUCUCUAUCGAGUUUCUUAUAAAAAUACAUUUCCCAAUUAAUUUACUAUAUGUCUAUGCAAAUUAUAUUGGAGAAAGAUUUAUUAAGUUUAUGCUCUAAUUUUGGCUACAUAUAGCUUAUAGGUGUAUGUCUACCCUAUAUGCAAAUCAAACCACCUAAUCAACUGAGUGCAUUAGAUCAUGUGCUAUUCUUUUCAAGGUCUACCUAAAUCUCUUUCACCAAGGUUUAACCUAGGUUUCCAAUUCAAUCUAAUUAGUGAUUAGGCAAUUAGAAGCAUUAAGAAUAGAAUAAAAUAAACAACCUAAAUCUAUCAAACAUAAGUAAAAGAGAGAUUAAUAAUCUAAACUACAUAUUGAGUUCAAUUAUAAUCUUAGAUUAACAAUUUAGUUCCCCAUCAAGUCACACAUCAUCAUUAAAUACAGUUUAAACAUUAAGAACAAAGCCAAGAAAAUAAAAGAAUAAAAUAAAAGAUAGAAAAACUCAAGAGUUGUGUUCUUGAUCUCCAAAUCUCCUUGAAUCCUUCAAAUUCUUCUUAGCUGCAAUGACUCUUGUGGCUUGACUCUCAAUUGUUAAUCUGGUGUUUUCUUCCUUCUUCCCUUUUCUCCAAAAGGUUGUUUUUAUAAGCUUUAAAGUUAGGCCAAGUUGGGUGAAGAAAGAAGUCAAUUCCAAUUAGAUUAUGUGGGUUGUAGCCUUGCCCAAUUAAUUAACAGAAAUCGUAAUUGCUCUAGGACUGCUACAGUAUGUCAAUUUUGACAAGAUUUUUGACCAUCUUACAAGCCGAAAUGGGUAAAGUAGUAAACAUAAAAGUUGUAGCUUUUUCUCUUAUCUUUCCAAUGGUCUAAGAAUCGCUUCAUUUGAAACUCUGUAGAGAAAGUAAUGGCUGAAAUACCAAAGUAUAUGCGUUAGAAGUCUGCACCUUAAAAUUGCUCUCUUUCUUUCAUUAAAAUUAUUCUUUCAUCAAACACCUACAAAAGCACAAAUAAAUCAAUAACAACCUAUCUUAACCACAUUAACACCAAAUUAAUCAUAAAAUUAACUAAGAUUAUAUUGACUCACCUAAAAUAACUAAUUUAAAAUAAUUAAAUAAAAUCUACUAAUUUCUAUGCAUUACUACAAGAAUUAAGCUAAAUUAUUAUAAAAAAUAAGCUCAAAUAACCCUAUAUCAUAGAGUUAUCAAAUAUUAAAAACCAUAAUGAUGAAUAGUCCAAGCUUGUUUGACCACGCUACUAGUACUGAGAAAGGCUUUUGAUGAAACUUGUAGUUCUAAGAUAGGGAUUUAGAGCAAGAAUAUCAUUAGCCUUUAAAGAAAGCCCUUCUCUUUUUGAUCAAUCCACCCUCUUCCUAUAGUUGUCCAUAGUGUUGCUUCACAGUUAAAAACUUUGAGAAUGAGAAUUUAAAGCUUAAUACUGAUGAUUAGUAUAUUCCAUAUAAUGAAGUGAAAUAUUCUUCCAAAAUCAAAGUUAAACCUCCAAGCUUUGAACAAAACACUCUUUGCAAUCCCCAAUACAAGGUUAUGCAAAUAAAAUUUAACCUUCCUUUUGAAAUUCAUUAUGUUGAGAAAUAAAAACAAAUUGAAUACAAGUCUCCUAAGCCUAAAGCAUAUCUUUAUCUUGAAAGUGUUAUGAUCAUGAAAAAGAUUUGCAAUAGAAGGUCUUCUCAUCAAACAUCCUUUCAUUUUGAUAAUCCUUACCCCAUGACGUUUGAGUUUCUUGUUAACCCACUUACCUUAUUUUUGUUAAAAACCCUAUUCCAUGUUAAAAACAAUCGUAAUCAAGACUUAGUUUGAAGCAAUUAGUUUGUUUUUUUUUUUAAUUUUUUUCAAACCUCUAAGUCAAUUAUUUUUGGACAUAUGGAUAGGUAAAAAGGAGAAAAUUCAAUUCCUAAUCAAUAAGUUUUAAUGCCACAUCAUCUAGCAUGUGGUAAUGUCAUCAUCAAAAUGACACGUCAACAUGUUACGUGGUAAAUGACAUAGUAUAAAAUUGCCAAUUGUACAUUUGACUAACAAAAGUUAGGUAAGAGUUAUUAAGAAGGCUUAUUUGACUUAAAUAAAAAUUUUGGGGCUUAUUUGAAUGUAAUAAAAGAUAGAGAUUUAAUUGAUUUGUUUGGUAUAAUUUAGAGGCUUCAAUGAAUUUGAGCCUCCGUCUUCAAUCUACAUUGACCACUUAAUAUAUAUCUAAAAACAGACUUGUAGCAUAUAUACGCUCUUAAGAUUUACUAAUGCUGAUACACAUGUUCAAUUUUUUACUCACACAAGUAUACGUAUCGCAAAGAUAAUAUAGAGAUGAGUAGAGUUUCGAUCUCACAGAGAAUUGAAUAAAUUUUUUUUUGCUAACUACUAAAAUUAACACACCUUAAUUUUAUCUAAACAAUUAAAAUUAAAAAGAAAAAUUUAAAUUAAUAAACUAAUAACAAAAACUAAAACUAAUGUAAAAUCUAUUAGCAAAUUUAUUUUAUUAAAUAUGAAUGACUACUAAACCUAAAAUUAUGAUAUCCCUCAAUACUUCAUUUGAUUAUUGUCUCUUUCUCUUAACUUAGUUUAAUGGAUUAAGUUGCUAACCUAGAGUCUUAAAUUAUUUACAAGUCUCUGUCCAAUUUCUCAUAAAAAUACCUUUCUCAAUUAAUUUACUAUAUGUUUAUGCAAAUUAUAUUGAAGAAAGAUUCAUUAAGCUCGUACUCUAAGUUUGGCUAUGUAUGGCUUACAAGUGUAUGUCUACCUUGCAUGCAAAUCAAACCACCUAAUCAACUAAGUGUAUUCGAUCAUACGUUAUUCUAUUUAAGGUCUACCUAAAUCUUCUUCAUCAAGGUUUAACUUAGGUUUUCAAUUCAAUCUAGUUGGUGAUUCGGCAAUUAAAAGCAUUAAGAACAGAAUAAAACAAACAACUUAAAUCUAUCAAACAUAAGUAAAAAAGAGAUAAAUAAUUCAGACUACAUAUUGAGUUCAAUCAUAAUCUUAGAUUACAAAUUUAGUUCCCCAUCAAGUCACACAUUAUCAUUGAAUAAAAUCUAAACAUUAAAAACAAAACCAAAAAAAUAAAAGAAUACAAAAAAAUAUAGAAAAACCCAAGAAUCAUAUUCUUGAUCUCCAAAUCUCCUUGAAUCCUGCAAAUUCUUUUUAGCUUCAAUGACUCUGUAGCUUGACUCUCAGCUUUUCAAUCUGGUGUUUUUUUUCGUUCCCCUUUAAGUCCUUUGAAAGGUUUUUUUUAUAGGCUUUGAAGUUAGGACAAGUUGAGUGAAGAAAGAUGUCACGACCCGGAACCUCCCUCAGGCCCAUGACAAUCGCUGCGACGUCCCAAUUGACACUCAUUAUCCGGAAUGCCAACCGGAACCCCGCAAGGCUUACAUAUCAGUUUCUUUCCUUUCCUGUGAGCAAUCAUUGUUAAAUAUCGAGUUUUUAGAGAAUAUAUACUAUUUUAGAUCAAAAACAAUCAAAAUAAAAUUUUCGCCACACAGGGGUAUUUUGGUCAUUUUUUUCUCAAAAAUUUCGAAACUGGCUAAAACGUAAUAUACAAGUACAAAACACAUAAUUCAUAUUCAAAAUGAGUUUAAAAGUCUAAAAUCUUCAUUUAAAACGAAAUUACGGUUAUUUGAAUAUAAUAAGAAAAUAAAAGAAAUAUUAAGGAAAAUAUUCUAUUUUCUUAUAAAACAAUAUUUAUAGAGUUAUACGUGAAUAAUUUUUAUAGCGUAAAAGCUAAAUAAAUUUAUACAUACUGAAAUACAGUAAGCCAAAAUAUUUAAUUUAAUUUACAAUAACAAGAGGGCCCCCGAAUAAACAAAAGUAAAGAGGACUGUGAACCUACGGUUUGGAAAAUGCAGAUCCAAUGGUAGUCCUCGAUGAGAUCAGCUAUCUACAGUCUAUACUGAACCUGAAAUGGGUGGAAAGGAGUUGGGUGAGAUUUUGCAAUCCCAAUGAGUAAACAGACAUUAUCAUAAAUAUCUAAAGGCGAGUAAAAUGGAGGCAAGUUUAAACAACAAAUUUCAACCCAUUUCAUAAUGUUUUCAAUUUAUUUCUUAAACCAUAAAAUAUUUGUAAUUUACCAAAACAGUUGUUAAGGCUUAUGUCUUUUAUUAAAACAAGGCUCAAGCCAAAACUAAUCCUCGGGGAUACCUUGGCCGAGGCAUCUAACCGAGUCCGCCAAGGGUGUUAAAAUAUUCACACGUGAAACACAUUUUUAUUUUUAAAACCAGCCGUUCCUUGGCGUUGGCCGAGUUACACAUUCACGUGGGGGUUCGACGUGAAGUGAGCUCUAAUACUACCCCAGGAGUUACCCUCCUCGCCUCUACAACCGGAGUAACUAUAUAACUGGGUUUACCGUGCCCCUCUAAUAGGCAGUCCACGGAAACCCGUCACUGCAGUGACUAACCCACCAAUUUUAAUAAAAUUUCGACAGUAUAACGUGGCUUUUAUUUAUUUAUCCAGCCUGCAUAGUAAAACAACUUACAUAAAUUUCCCAAUGCAUUCACAAAAUAUAGCCACAUAUACUCAUUUCUCAUAAGCCAUUCCUAGGAAAAUAUAUAUUUUUCAAGUCAAUUUGUAGCCUCCAAUUACUCAAUUUCAUAAUCAAUACAAUAUAUUUUUAUUUGUCACAUUUAUUCCUAAAACAUCAAAAAUCCCGUUUUAAUCUCGUUUUCAUUUCAUAAAAUACAUAAAGGGCAUUUAAAAAUAAACUCUAGAUAAUUUACAAUAAUAAUAAGUUUACUCACCGUUUGUACAAACUAAAAGCUUUCUAAGCGCCCCGAUCACUACUCGUCGGGUACGACUUCUUUGCCUUUUCCGGAAGGCUCUCCUCCUAGACACAUUACAAAAAUUUACACAAUUCAUCACAUUGAUGCUAAAUCACUAUAUAAUUAACUUAAAUCCUAUACUAAUGCAUGGUAUGAAAUGCAAUAGCCUAAAACGGCUUAAACGCGGUAUUAACCUAUUUUUGGCACUUUGCCCGAUAAAUUGCUAACGCGCUCCAUUUUAGCUCUAAAUCAUCCCAUUCUCUCUCCAACAUUUCUAACCAUUAAAUAUCAGCCAAUAACCUUCUAAAAACAACAAAAUCAGCUCACUCCCUUCCUUGGAAAAUUCGGCCAAAAAUGGGACAUUAACUCGGUUAAUUUUCUACUUUGUUUUUCUAUCACGUUUAAUCGUUUUUCAUCAUUUUCUCUUCAUUUUCCUUAGAAUAAAAUCAAUUCAUCAUCAUUGUACAGCAUUGAGCAUCCAGCCAAGAGUGGGUAUUGUGAAAAUUUAAUGAUUUCUUGCCCAAUUUAAUUUCUAAACACAUUUAACUAACUAAAACUAUCAAUUUAACUAAAAAUCAAAACCUAAAAAUUUCAAUUUCUCUCCCCUAGAAUUUCGUCCAGCCCUUGAUAUCACUUUUUGAUCUCUCUCCUCAAGCAUGCUAAAUGGAAAUAAAGGCAUAGGAAAGGUAGAAAUCAAGCUAAAAUCGAAAAAUCUUACCGUUAGACGCGUAAACGGUCGAAAACCGCGAAUUUCCCUUUGAAUUUUCUUGUUUCUCUUUGGUUUUUCUUUUUUUCUUCCUUUCCUCUCUAUUUCCUCUCUUGUUCUUCCUUAUGGCCGGCCAGCACUUAAAAUUUGGGUUUAAAUGGGCUGACUUUUCAUUAAAAUAAUAUUAUAUCAUUUAAAAAAUGCCACAUGUCACUUUCCCAUUGGCCCAUUUUUAAAAUUUCAUCCAUUUGUUUCCAAAUUUUCACCAUACACUUGUCUCAUAUAUUCAUAGCUUAGAUAAAAUUCUCAGACUCAUCCAAAGUCUCGGUGGAGUAAUUUUUGAAAUUUACACUUUUGCCCCCGUAAAAGUCAAAAAUUACAUUUUUGCCCCAAAAAUUGAAAAAUUGCCCAUAGACAUAUUUUUCAUCCCUUAUACUCAUACCAUUCUCCAAUUUGUCAAAUUUGAUCUAAAUUCUCUCAAAAUCUCAAAUUUUGUCCGUGGGUGGCAAAAUUACGAUUUUGCCCCUACACUCCAAAAAUCACCAGAAUUAAACUUUUUCACUUCCUAUCAUUAAAUUAUACUCCAAAUAGUUAAUCUUGGUCAAAAAUUUCACUCCAUGAUCAAAUUAUUAUCUUAGGUGGCAAAAUGACGAUUUUGCCCUUGAAUAUCAAAAUUUCUAAUUUUACCCCAAAUGAACCCUCGAACUCCGAACAAUCAUUUUUAGUCAUUCCUGGACUAUAAAAUAUUAAAUUUCAUCCUACAAUUCCUAUUUGAACUAGUUCGAGGUUAAAUCAAUUUAAGUGUACCGUUAGGUACAAUAACGGGUUUCGUCUAUUCUUAGGUGCUUUUCUAGCGUAAUAACAUGCUACUCAAUGCAUGUAUGUCAUGACAUGUAUUUAUAGGGUUGGCGUUUACAAAAGAAGUCAAUUAAAGCUUGGAUUUCCUCAUCAGAUUAUGUAAGUCACAGCCUUGCCCAAUUAAUUAAUAGAAAUCGUAAUUGCUCUAGGACUGCUAUAGUGCAUCAAAUUCGACAAAAUGUUUGACCAUAUUCCAUACCGAAUUGGGUGAAGAGAUAAACAUAAAAGUUUUAGAUUUUUCUCUUAUCUUUCCAAUGGUUUAAGAAUAGAUUCAUUUGGAGCUUUGUAGAGACAGUUAUAGCUGAAAUACCAAAAUAUAUGCAGUGCAAGUUUACACCUCAAAAUUGCUCUUCUUUUUCCAUUAAAAUUCUUCUUUCAAACACCAACAAAAGUACAAAUAAAUUAAUAACAACCUAUCUUAACCAUAUUAACACCAAAUUAAGCAUAAAAUUAACCAUGAUUAGAUUGACUCACCUAAAAUAACUAAUUUAAAAUAAUUAAAUAAAAUCUACUAAUUUUUAUGCAUUACUACAAGAACUAAGCUCAAUUACUAUUAAAAUUAAGCCCAAAUAACUCUAUAUUAUAGAGUUAUCAACACAAAAACUUGUCAUUUCUACUUUUACUCGACUAUUUAUGUAAACUACAAAAAUCUUAUAAUAUUUUAUUGUGUUAUGAAAUAUAAAAAGGAACAACUAUAAGAGAAAGCAUUUAGAGGGAAAAAAGGUAUUUGGAGGGAGUAAGAAAAGCUUAUUCAAGUGUGUAUUUAUAAAUGAAGUGAACGGUCUAUUUAUAGGCUAAUAAGCCUUUAUCUAGAUAAAAUUUACAAGAUGAAAAUAAUACUAAGGGAUUAGAUGGAUGGAUUAUAUUCUAAUCUUAAUCCAAUCUAAUAUACAUCCAAAUCUAGAUAUACAUAGCAUAAAUGGAUAUUCACAAAAAUAUUCAUAACACUCUCCCUUGAAUAUCUACUGUAUUAAGAAUAUGUCUCGUUAAAAUCUUAUUAGGAAAAAAACCUCAUGGGAGAAAAAUCCUAGUGAAGGAAAAAGAGUACAUAAUUCUUUUCAAGAAUACACUUAUAAAAUACUACCUUAUUAAAAACCUUAUCAAGAAAAACCUAGUGCAAAAAACUUUGAUAAACAAAAAGAGUACAGUAUGUAUUUUACUAUUUCUAAUGAUUGCAUUAUUAAGAUAUUUAAAAUGAUGCAUUCCAAUCUUUUGUACCAACUUUUCAACUGUUGUAGUAUGAAAAACUUUGGUGAACAAAUCUGUUAUAUUGUCACUUGAACAAAUUUGUUAAACACUAAUAUCACCCUUUUCUUGGAGAUCAUGAGUGAAAAAUUUUGGCAAAAUAUGUUUUGUUUUAUCGCCUUUAAUGUAUCCUUCCUUUAACUGUGUUAUGCAAGUAGUAUUAUCCUCAUAUAACGUUGUUAGAAUCUCUUUCUUAGUUGACAAGCCACACGUUUCUUGAAUAUGUUGAGUUACAUAUCUUAACCAAACACAUUCACGACUUACCUCAUGAAUUGUCAAAAUUUCUACAAGGUUAGAAGAAAUAGCAAAUAUAGUUUGUUUUAUAAAACACUAUGAAAUAGUCGUACCUCCACAUAUAAAUAAGUAAUCUAUCUAGGAUCAAGCUUUAUGUGGAUCAUAUAAAUAUUCUGCAUUUGAAUAACUAAUUAAAUUUUAUUUUAAUAUAUUUGAGUAAUAGAAGCCUAUGUCUAUUAUUCUUUAGAGAUAUCGGAGUAUAUGUUUAACUUCGUUUCAAUGUCUUUGAGUUGGAGAAGAAUUAUAUUUUAUAAAUAAAUUUAUAGCAAAUGAUAUAUCAAGUCGUGUAUUACUAGUAAAAUACAUUAGUAAUCUAAUUAGACUAAGAUAUGGUACUUCAAGACUAUAAAGUUCUUCAUUAUCCUCACGAGAUUGGAAAAGGUCUUUUUCACUUCUAAUGACUUUAUAACCACUGGCAAACUCAAUGGAUGUACUUUGUCUAUAUAAAAUCAUUUUUGCACUUUUUGUCAAGCCUAGCUCUAUAAUAUAUUUGCCAUAUUGUAUAGGUACUUGAUAGAAUGUCUGCAUACUUGAAUGCCUCAGAAAUCGUUGCAAGACGAUAUUGUACCUAAUGGUACAAUUAAGUUGAUUUAAGUCUUGAACUAGUCUAAAUAGAGAUUUUAAGAUGCAUUCGAGAGUUAUUGAACCUUAGAAUGACUUGAUAUGAUGAUUUGGAGUUCGGGGAUUGAUUUAGAAUUAAAUUGGAAUUUUCAUAACGUAGGGGUAAAAUGGUCAUUUUGCCACCCGAUGGCAAAAUUGGAAUGGUGGAUGAAAUUUUGAUCAAGUUUGACUAUUGGAAUAUAAUUUGAGCUUGAGAGGUGAAAAAUUUUAAUUUCGACAUUUUUCCGAGCAUAAGGGCAAAACGAUCAUUUUACGUGUCUAUAGGGGUAAAAUUAGAAUUUUUGAAAUUUUGCACCACCAUGACACUUGUCAAGCCCUUGAAUUUUACCUAUUAUACUUUGGAUAAUUGAGAUAUUUUAUGUGGUGGUGGGAGAAUGCUUAAUUAUUAAGUUUAAAAAUGAACCAAUUAAAAGGUUACACAUGACAAGCUUUAGUUAUUUUAAUAUUUUCUUUUAAAAAAAAAUCAGCACACACCUCUCUUAUUUCAUUCUUCAUGGUCAGCUAAGACAAGAACAAAGAGAAAAAAGAAGAGAACAAACCCUAGUGAGCAAAAAUUCAAGGGAAAAUUGGUGGAUUUCAAGGAAUUAAGCAAGUAAAAGUAAAAUUUCUUGAUUUUAGCUUCUGAUCUACCUUUCCUAUGCAUUCUUUUUCAUUUUCCAUGGUUGAUAAUCAAGUUUGCAUGAAGAUACCUUUGCUGGCCGGACAUAGGGGGAGGGGUUCUGAUCUUGGAUUUAGCUAGAUUUCAUGUUAUUUUAGUGUUUUUAGUUGUUUGGUGAUGUUUAGCAUGGAAAACAAGCAAGAAAUUUCAUGCCCUUCACCCACACCCAUUGGCUGAAUUUUUCAAGAGAGAAAUUGGAAAAUGGACUUUGAUGAAUUUCAUGCUAUUUAGGUAUUUUUAGUUGUUUUAUGAUGUAAAGUGUAAAAAUCAAGCAUGAAAAACCACAUAUUAUUCAUGAACCCUCCAUGGCCGAAUUUUUUCAAGAGAAAAUGUUGAGGAUGAUUUUGCUAUAAUUCAUGUUAUCUAGCUUAUAUUUGAUGAUUUGGAGCAUUGGAACUGAAAUGAAUUUAUUUGGAGUUGAAUUGGAUAUUUUGGCCAAUUAACCGGCGUAUAGUGUGAAUUAGGUCAACACCAUUUCAGCCCCAUACACAAUUGAACCUACGUAGAACACCGUAUUUAGAUAAUAAUCCGAACAUUUCACAUCCCAUUUCAUGCAUUCAUAUAGAGUCUAAAUUAGUUUUAUAACGGUUUAACACAAAUAUAGUAAAUUGCUUGUUGUGCAUUAUGUCUAAGUGGUGAAACUUUCGAUAAAGGUAAGGAGAUUGUACCCGAAGAUCGAGAUUAGGUGUACCUCGAUUCUCGAUAUUGUGAUUGACCUUAUUAUCGUCUUAAUUAUCUAAAGUAGUUUUCAUUCGUUUUUGUGAUUUUAUAGAAAAAUGAGUUUAAAUGGUAAAUUCUUAUGUUUUAUAAGUAAAAUGUGAUUAAAUGAAAUGAGUUUUAUAAAUCAUUUUGAAAUUGAAUGAUGAUUUUAGAAAUUGAGUAAUUGGAGACUGUUUGUUUGUGUUGUAAAUUUAUGGUUUGAAUUGAAUGGCUUAUGGUGAUAUUGGCAUGAAUGGCUAAAUUGGAAAUUAUGUGGAAAGUGUAUGAACUGUUUGUUUUGCCUUAACAGGCUGGGUAGUAAUAUAAUUGCCAUGUCAUGUUGUUGAAACUUUUAUUGAUUUGGUGGGAUAUUGAUUAGUCACUGCAGUGGUGGGUUUCUGUGGACCAGCCUAUGAGAGGGGCACGGUAAACCCCGUUAUAUUUUACCUUAGUACGAGAGGCAUGGAGGGUAUCUCCUAAGGUAAAGCUUUAGAGUUCACUUCACGUCGAACCAUCACGUGAGGGUGAACUCAGCCAACGCCAAGGAGCGGCUAUGUUUUAAAACAUAAAAAUAUGAUUUAUGGAUAUAUGUCUUUUAUUUAACAGCCUUGGUGGACUCAGUUGGAUGCCUCUGAUCAAGGUAUCCCCGAGAAUGAGUUUUGAUACGAGCGAAGUUUUUAAGAAAUUCAUAAGCCAUGUUGAUUAUUUAAGUGAAAUGAAUUUAUUUUAUUUAGUUGAAAUGAGUUUGAAACGUUAUGAAUCAUAGUACGAUGAACUAUUUUAAGUUGUCUCCAUUUACUUGACUUUAGAUAUUUUAGAUGAUGUUUGUUUACUCACUGAGUUUAUAUAAACUCACCACCCUCAUUUCCACUCAUUCCAGGCUUAGGACAGUCAGUAAAUAGCUGAUUACGUCGAGGGUUAUUAUUAGACUCGCCUCCUCGGAAAUUGUAGGUCCACAACCUUUGUUACCUUUGGUCAUUCGGGGACGCACACGUCAUUGUAAAUUAAAUUACAUACUCUGGUUAUCUAUGUUACCGUAUAUAUGAAUUUAUUUUGCUUUUAAGCUAUAAAAAUUAUUCAUGUAGCGUUUUAUAAAUAUUGUUUUAUAAAAAAGUAGAAUAUUUUAUUCAAUAUUUUUAUUUUAUUCUAUUAGCUACGAUUUCACUCUAAAUGAAUGUUUUAGACAUAAAAACUUGUUUUUAGUUAUGAAAUGUGUAUUUUCUCCCAUGUGUUAUAUUUUCAGCAAGUUUCAAAAUUUUUGGAAAAAAUGACCAAAAUGCCUCUAUGAGACAGAAAAUAUUUUUUUAUUUUUUUUAUCAUUGUUUCGAUUUGGAAAUAGUUGAUAAUCUUUUAAAAUAUGAUGUUUAGUAAUUAUUGCUCACAGGGGAGGUGCGAAAACUGAUAUUAAGCCUUGCGAGGUUUCGGUUGGCAUUCCGGGUAAUGGAUGUCUAUAGGGACAUCGUGACGGUUGUCACGGGCUCGAAGGGAGUACAAGGUCGUGACACUUUUGCUAUAUAAUUUAAUUAAUGGAUAAAAAUUUCAUUUGUCAAGUGUUAAAUCUAUAGACUCAAACAAAAAAUUUAUUUUUUCAAGGUUUUUUAUCUUAAAUUCUAUUUUUAAAUAAUCCACAGCUUCUGAUAACUCUUUGGGAGUUCCAAUCAUGUUUAGGUCAUUAACUUAAAUAGCUAUUAUCAAAAAUUCAUAUUCGAAUCUUUCUAUAAAAAACACAUGGGUAUAUAGAAUCAUUUUUAUAGCUUUUUUUCAAUAAAUAUUCAUUAAGACGAUUAUACCAUAUACAUCCAGAUUGCUUUAAUCCAUAUAAAGAUUUAUUUAAUUUAAUCAAAUAAAUUUUAUAAGAAUUCAAAUUUUGUGUUGCAAGCAACUUAAAUCCUUUAAGAAUUUUCAUAUGGAUAUUAUUAUCAAGUGAGCCAUAUAAAUAGGCUGUAGCUACAUUCAUUAGAUAUAUUUUAAUAUUCUCACCUAUUACCAGACUAAUUAAAUAUAGAAAUAUAAUUGCAUCCACCACAAAAGAAUAUGUCUCUUCAUAAUCAAUAUCGAGCCUUUGGGUAAAGCCUUAUGUGACAAGUCGUGCUUUAUAUCUCAUAAUCUCAUUUUUCUCAUUUCGUAUUUGUGCAAAUAUCCAUUUAUAUCCUACUGGUUUUACACCAUUUGGUUUAUAGACUACAAAUCCAAAAUCUUCAUGUUUUGCAAGUGAAUUCCACCUUGAUUGUGUUUUUCUCACUUUGGCCAAUCAUUUUUAUGUCUACAUUCUUUAAUAGAUGUAGGUUCAAGAUACCCAUUUUCUUUCAUAAUAUUGAGCAUUAUAUUAUAUACAAAAAUAUCGUCGAUAUUUAUUUAAUUUCGGUUCCAUCUUUUCCUAUUAUGAUAUAAUUUAUUAAGAUCUCUUCAUUUUCAUUGAUUUCAGGUAUCUAAAUUUUAUUCUGAAAUUUUAUCAAUUAUGUCAAGGGUCUCUUCUAGAGUUUCUAUUUCUUUUUUCUAACCAUCUUGAAUAUUUGCUCCUUUUAUUUAUUAAGGAUUUUAUCUUUAGAACCGAUUAGUAUCCCAUGUUUCUGACCUACCUUGUCUUACAAGGACAUCAAUUCUAAUAGGAGUUUUCGCAACUGGUAUAUGAGAUUUAAUUAUUUUUUAAGGUCAUUAAGUAUGUCUGGCAACUGAUUUGUUAUAUUUUACAAAUGAAUUAUAUUUUGAACUUUAAGUUCACAUUGAUUUGUGUAAAGAUCAAAACUAAAUAAUAAUAAUAAUAAUGAUAAUAAUAAUAAUAAUACAUUCCAAGAAAUGUUUUGUUUUCAAUUGCUUAUUUUCUCCCCUAAUGUUGAAAAAACUAUUUUAUCAAAAUGACAAUUGGCAAACUUUGUCAUGAAUAAAUGUCUUGUUAAUGGUUCUAAAUAUUUAAUUCCAAAUGGAGAUUCAUAUCUGUCACGACCCGGAACUCCCCAUCGAGCCCGUGACAACCGCCGCGAAACCUCGACAAACAUUCUUCACCCCGAAUGUCGAUCGAAACCUCGCAAGGCUCUCGUAUCAACUUUCGCACUUCCCCAGUGAGCAAUAGUUAUCAAAUAAUCAAAAUACGAAGGAUUACAAAUUAUUUCCAAAUCAUAACAUAACAUAUAUAUUUUUUUUGCUCAUAGGGGCAUUUUCGUCAUUUUUGUCAAAAAUCUCAAAACUUGCUAAAAAUGUAGUAGGUAAGCCGAAAAUAUAUAUUUAAUGAUUUAAAAAAAAAUUUAAGUAUCUAAAUCGUUUAUUUGAAGUGAAAAUUUGACCAUUUGAAUAUAAUAAAAAUAUUCAAUAAAAUAAACUAUUUUCUUGUAAAAUAAUUUUCAUAAAACUAUCGGUACAUAAUUCUUAUAGCGUAAAAGAGAAUUAUACUCAUAUAUACUAUAAAGCAAAUAACCAAAGCAUAAAAUUUCUUUUACAGUGACACAUGGGCCCACCUCUAACCAAAAUGCAUCGGAAGCUGAAAACCUACAGCUUUUACCGAUUCGAGUCCAAAUAAAGGUCCUUGUCAAGUCAGCUAAUUAUGGAAUUCCCCGAGCCUGAAAUGUGAGGAAAUGAGGGUGGUGAGAUUAUAAAAUCCCAGUGAGUAAACAGAUACCAUCUAAACUAUCUAAAGUCGAGUAAAUGGAGACAAUUAAAAUAAAUCAUCAUACUAUAAUUUCAUUACCUUUCAACUCAUUUCAACCAAAUAAAAUCAAUCCAUAAAAAUUGAGUAAUCAACUUGGCUUAUGAAUUUUUUAAAACUUUGGCUCAUGCCAAAACUCAUAUUCGGUGAAACCUUGCGCAGGGCAUUCAACCGAGUCCGCCAAGGCUGUUAAAAUUUUGCAUACACUUAAAAUAUAUUUUUAGUUUGAGAAAAAUACAGCCGUUUCUUAGCGUUGGCUAAGUUCCCCUUCACGUGGUGGUUUAACGUGAAGUGAACCCUAAGCUUGACCCCAGAAGAUACCCUACGCGCCUCUCCGUUCGAGGUAAUAAUAUAAUGGAGUUUACCGUGCCCCUCUAAUAGGCUGGUCCACGGAACCCCCUCUGCAGUAAAUAAUUAAUAUAUAAUCCACCAAUCAAUAAAAUUCAUUCUAGCAUGACAUGGCAAUUUAUCGCAACCUAACCUCUNNNNNNNNNNNNNNNNNNNNNNNNNNNNNNNNNNNNNNNNNNNNNNNNNNNNNNNNNNNNNNNNNNNNNNNNNNNNNNNNNNNNNNNNNNNNNNNNNNNNNNNNNNNNNNNNNNNNNNNNNNNNNNNNNNNNNNNNNNNNNNNNNNNNNNNNNNNNNNNNNNNNNNNNNNNNNNNNNNNNNNNNNNNNNNNNNNNNNNNNNNNNNNNNNNNNNNNNNNNNNNNNNNNNNNNNNNNNNNNNNNNNNNNNNNNNNNNNNNNNNNNNNNNNNNNNNNNNNNNNNNNNNNNNNNNNNNNNNNNNNNNNNNNNNNNNNNNNNNNNNNNNNNNNNNNNNNNNNNNNNNNNNNNNNNNNNNNNNNNNNNNNNNNNNNNNNNNNNNNNNNNNNNNNNNNNNNNNNNNNNNNNNNNNNNNNNNNNNNNNNNNNNNNNNNNNNNNNNNNNNNNNNNNNNNNNNNNNNNNNNNNNNNNNNNNNNNNNNNNNNNNNNNNNNNNNNNNNNNNNNNNNNNNNNNNNNNNNNNNNNNNNNNNNNNNNNNNNNNNNNNNNNNNNNNNNNNNNNNNNNNNNNNNNNNNNNNNNNNNNNNNNNNNNNNNNNNNNNNNNNNNNNNNNNNNNNNNNNNNNNNNNNNNNNNNNNNNNNNNNNNNNNNNNNNNNNNNNNNNNNNNNNNNNNNNNNNNNNNNNNNNNNNNNNNNNNNNNNNNNNNNNNNNNNNNNNNNNNNNNNNNNNNNNNNNNNNNNNNNNNNNNNNNNNNNNNNNNNNNNNNNNNNNNNNNNNNNNNNNNNNNNNNNNNNNNNNNNNNNNNNNNNNNNNNNNNNNNNNNNNNNNNNNNNNNNNNNNNNNNNNNNNNNNNNNNNNNNNNNNNNNNNNNNNNNNNNNNNNNNNNNNNNNNNNNNNNNNNNNNNNNNNNNNNNNNNNNNNNNNNNNNNNNNNNNNNNNNNNNNNNNNNNNNNNNNNNNNNNNNNNNNNNNNNNNNNNNNNNNNNNNNNNNNNNNNNNNNNNNNNNNNNNNNNNNNNNNNNNNNNNNNNNNNNNNNNNNNNNNNNNNNNNNNNNNNNNNNNNNNNNNNNNNNNNNNNNNNNNNNNNNNNNNNNNNNNNNNNNNNNNNNNNNNNNNNNNNNNNNNNNNNNNNNNNNNNNNNNNNNNNNNNNNNNNNNNNNNNNNNNNNNNNNNNNNNNNNNNNNNNNNNNNNNNNNNNNNNNNNNNNNNNNNNNNNNNNNNNNNNNNNNNNNNNNNNNNNNNNNNNNNNNNNNNNNNNNNNNNNNNNNNNNNNNNNNNNNNNNNNNNNNNNNNNNNNNNNNNNNNNNNNNNNNNNNNNNNNNNNNNNNNNNNNNNNNNNNNNNNNNNNNNNNNNNNNNNNNNNNNNNNNNNNNNNNNNNNNNNNNNNNNNNNNNNNNNNNNNNNNNNNNNNNNNNNNNNNNNNNNNNNNNNNNNNNNNNNNNNNNNNNNNNNNNNNNNNNNNNNNNNNNNNNNNNNNNNNNNNNNNNNNNNNNNNNNNNNNNNNNNNNNNNNNNNNNNNNNNNNNNNNNNNNNNNNNNNNNNNNNNNNNNNNNNNNNNNNNNNNNNNNNNNNNNNNNNNNNNNNNNNNNNNNNNNNNNNNNNUAGAGUCGGGCUUGUCAUCUUCUCCCCCACUUGGAUCAACCAUAUGAUCCUCCUUCUUGAUUGACUUCGACAUCCGGCUAAAUAUUAAUAUUUUAAUAUUAUUUUAUUAAUAAAAUAUUAUUUUAUUCUAAAAAUUUUAUCUUGUCUCCUUGGUACCCAAAAUACCUUAUUAUGCCUCACUUGACUUCCAAAUCGCCUUUUAUCUCACAAAUUCUCCUCCGAUAAAAUUAUUAUUAUUUUAUUAUUAUUUUCUCACUUGCGAAAUAUUUUAUCCUAAACUACUCCUUUCGUCUUUUAUCACUUCUAAACAUUUUAAUUGACCUCAAUUUGCAUUCGAUCAACUUUAUUUAUCACCAUAUCAAAGUAUGGGGUAUUUCAAUACCCAACAUAUAUUUCUAACCUCCUUCGAAGACCCAUCUUUAUGCAUUGUGGUUGAGCAAUUGGAACAUAUAUUGCACAUCUAAAAGUUCUUAAAUGGGAAGUAGUUGGUUUCUUAUCAUAAACCAAUUGUAUAGGGAAAAUUUAUGAUAACUCGUUGGUAUUGUUGGUCCUGUUUGAGUGCUAGAGGAGGAGUGAAUAGAACUAAAAAUUUUUUGUUCAGCCCUUUAGAGCUAGAAGAGCUCUUAAUCAACUAGAUGAAGAGAAAGACUAAAACUUGUUAGAACUACAAGACACCAAGUAAGGAAGGGUAGAGGGGAAGUGGACAAUACAAAAGAAUUUCUAGUGGUUCGGUCCCCUUGACCUACAUCCACUACCUUGAUCUCCCAAUCAAAGAUUUUCAACCCAACUUCACUAUACUAGUUGAAUUAACAACUUCCAGCAAGCUUUUACAAUGUGAGCUUCUAACCCAAGCUUUUAUCCCUUACAACAAGCUUUAGAGUGCUUCCCACACUCUAAUUUUUCAAAAAAAAGAAGAAAAAGAAGUACGACUAAGUAUCUUUACAAGUCUGGAUAGACUACAAUCAAGCUUAUACACUUUUUCUAGAUUUGGAAUGAAGAACAAGUGUUUUUGGUGAAGAAUAUUUGGCUUUUUGCUUGAAGUAGCUCUUUUCUCUUCAAAUCUCUCUUCUUUGAUCCUUAGAGCUUUCAUUUAUACUUAGGAAGUUAGAUUUUUCUAUUAGAGAUAGUUUCUAGCCAUUAGAAAUAACUUUAAUGCACUUUUAGUCAUUAUUUUGUCCUCUAGUGUUUAAAUUCCAAAAGGCAAAUAGACUUCGGCUAACUAGUUACAGGCAGCUCUAACUGAUUACAGCUUCUCUGUCUUGCACUAUCCUGCUGUUGUGUUCUUUGCUCUAACCGAUUACAAAAGGCUUUAAUCGAUUAAGAGUUCUCUAUCUUCAGACUUCUCUUCUUCAAAGACUUCCUCUAACUAGUUAUGGUAGGCUCUAAUCGAUUACAAACUUUCUGUUUUCACUUCUCUAUAUAGCAGUCUUUCUCUAAUUGGUUAGCUCUUCCCUUAACUGAUUAAGGCUUUACUUCUUUCAACCAUAACUGAUUAAAAUAACCUUUAAUCAAUUAGAAGAUCUUUGAAUUUUGAACUUCUCCAUUUUAGCUCCCUUCAAUGGUCAACUAUAUUUUCAAACUUGUUUUUGGCGCUGAAAAUACUAGGACCUUAUGCUCUAAUCGAUUAACCAGACCCUUUAAUCGAUUAGCAUAUUUUUGUUUUACUUCAGCUUAUCACACAACCAUGCCUUAACUAAUUAAGGUCCCUUGUUAAUCAGUUAUGAAGGUUUUGUUUUUGUUCAUUACUUGCUCUUUCCUUUUUAACUGAUUAUCUCUUCAUUAAACUUAACAAGCUCCUCGACUUGCUUUUAAUUAACAACUUUGUUAGGGGUAUUAAAUUAAAUCUUACACAUUUAAAUAACACGAUUAAACAUUAAUGAAUGAAUAAUAUUUUGUUAUCAUCAAAAACAUAUGGAGUCAAUAGGCAUGAUGCAUACAAAUGCUACUUCAUACAAAAUGGCAUGUCCCCAAGUAGAAAUUGGGAGUUUAGAUUUCAUAAGUAAUGACCUUACAAUCAUUUGGAAGUGUUUAAUAAAUAAUUUGCUAGAUUGUUUUGAAUAUGAACAUAAGCAACAUGUUGUUUAACAGUUAUUCUGACUAAUAUGCAAUAUUUAUUAAAAACUUGAGAUGUAAAUUCACUAGUAUAGUCAAGAUGAAUUGUCUUGAUUGCAUAAUCAGAAAAAUGUAUUUUCAAAUGAAUGAUUUAGGUGAUUAAUCUUGGAAAUGCCAAAUUACAAGUUGAUAAUAAGCACCAUGUGAUCAUUUAGUCGAUACAUCAAUUAAAAUUAUAAAAUAUCUAAAUGGUCCACAUGGUGGAUGUAUGAAUCCACAUAUGUCACCCUGAAUAUGUUUCAAAAAUAUAGAAGAUUCAGUACCAACUUUAAUUAGUGAUGGCCUUAAAAUUUAUUUGCCUUAAGAGCAAGCAACACAUGAGUAUUUCAUUAGAUUGAAAAAUCUUCUGGUUUUUCCAUGGAUGAUCACAUUAAUUUUCAAUAAUUUUCAUAUCAUUAUUGAUCCGGGAUGGUCCAACUGAUCAUGUCAAACAUUAAAAUCAUUAGUAAACUUUUGGUUUGCUAUAAUAUGAGUUUCAAUCAUUUUAAUAUUUGUGUAGUGCAAUUCAGAAGACAAAAUAGGUAAUUUUUUUUUCAAUACACACUUCUUCCUCUAGAUAAUAGAUGUAAUACGAGGUAUUAAGUGUCUCUACCAUUCGUUGUCUUAAUAUGAUAUCCAUUCAAACGAAUAUCUUUAAAACUUAAUAAAUUUCUUUGAGACUAAUUAGUAGAAAAUAAUGCAUCCUCUAUUAUGAACUUUGUUCUUUUAUGUAGUAAAAUAUUAACUCUUUCGGAGUCUUCAAUUAAUCUUGUAGUACCAAAUAUUGUAUUGAUAUUAAUUUCUUCCAUUGUAAAAUGGGAAAAAUAUUUCUUGUCGUGAAAUAUAAAGUGCAUUGUAAUACUGUCUAUUAGACAUAUAUUUGCAUCAUUGAUCUUGGAUCUAACCAGAUACAUAUCCAUAUUUUUCUUCAAUAAAAAAAAGAUAUAUAUAUUACAAGUUAACAUAAAACAACAUUAAAUUGAGAAUUAAAACACAAAAUAAGAACAUAUCUUUUAAAUAUAAUGAGGACCUAUAAAAACAUCUUCAUAAUAGAGUUAUACUAAAAUAUACCAACAAACUAUUAAGAAAUUUCAUUCUUGGAUAUUUCCAUUACUAAUCAAAUUAUCAAUUCCUUUGUUAAGGUGGAUAUGAAAAUCAACAAUGGAUAUUUCUAUUACUGAUCAUAUGAUCAAUUCUUUUUUAGCGUGGACUAGAAAAUCAACAAUAUUUUGAUGUGUUAUAUCAACUUGGCUAUGGUUAGCUUUUAGUGAUGCUUGAUAAAAUUCAAGUUGUACAACCGGUACAUGAUCAAUGGCCUUUCAUGCCACAUCGAUGAUAAGAUAUUUUUUAUAUAUUUUUUAUUCUAUACAUUUUUAUCUUUUUGUUAUAUCUCUUUACUAUUCACCCACUAUUAGUUGGUUAAAAGUAUUCAUCCAUUUCAUUAAAAGUAUGCAUCCACUUCUAGUGGGAUAAAAUUAUUCUUAGAAUUAGAAUAGUGAUUACUGUAAAUUAUUAUGACGACUUCUUUCAUGUUCAUGACCAUAAUUGUUAAAUGACGUCGCAUUCACUUUAAGAAAUGGACAUAUUCAUGAUUUUUUGUUAGUAGCUAUAUAAUAGUAAAUUCACUUUUCAAUUAAGGGACAAAAUAUAAUAUAUAUUACAUAAUAGUAAAAUUCAUAUUAAGGUUAAUUUUUAGGGAAUGAAAACACUAAAGAGAUAUAAAGUCACUCAUUUGAUUUGUUAUAACCAAAAACUAAAGACCAACCAUUUAAAUCCUUUUAAAGCUUGGAGAUGAUGAAAACAAAAUAAUACCAACACUUACCUAAUUUACUAAAACCAGAAAUCAAAACCCAAUCAUUGAAAUAUUUUUGAAGCUUGAAGAUAACGAAAACAAAAUAAUACUAAAACUUGAGAGAUUAGGGAAUCAUUACAAAAAAAACAUGUUUUUUCCGACGAAAAAUAUUUCGUUGGAAAUUUCCAACGGAUAUCAAUCCAAAGUUGUUAUAGUUUUUUUGACGGAUUUCCGACGUGUUGAGUGUUGGUAUUAGUAAAUUAGGUAAAUUAGGUUUUAAAGCUUGAAAAUUAGGUUUUGAAGAUAUCCAAAAUUUGAAAGCAAGUCCAGCAUGCUUGAGUCACCUGUUGGCCGCUACUUCUUGCCUCACGGUUCUGAUAUCUGCACGCAUUGCCCUCUCGUCCUUCAGCUCUUCCAAACCAAGCGUAAACUUGAUGGCUCUGAGGAGGAGUAUGGCGAGUUUCUUCACUUGCCUAAAAAGCGCUUCUAUGAUUUUUAUGAGAUUUGCAGGGAGAUUCAUGUUCUUUAUUGCUUGUUUUUAUGAUUGAGAAGCUCAAAUGUUAGGCAUUUUGAUUAUUCAAUUUGAAAAGGUUUUUAUUAUAGGGUUUUUAUGAAGUUAGGCAUUUUUGAAUUUUUUUUUGCUGACUGGUUGCUUAAGGACUAUUAAAAUUGUGAGAUAAAUUUUGAAGCAAGAAAUAGAUUAAUUAGAUGAUACGUGAAAGAAUUAAUAAGAUGCCCAAUAAGUUGUGAUUAGGGAAAUUGAAAGCUUGCCAAAAGGAAUAAUUAGGCUUUAGGUGAUAAUGAUGCUGAAAUUCACUACAUUGAAGUUUUUAGGGUUUAGGUAGAUAAUUACUUAACUAGUAAAGAGAAUCACUUAAUUUAGAUGUUCUUGGCUAAGGAUCUCAUAUAUAUUUCUUCUCUCUCCCCCAAGCUCUUUGACAAACUCUAGCCUUUUAUUGCUGCUUGCAAGUGUUUUUUUUUUAAAAAGUAUUGCUUGCAAGUUAUAAUAGUUUUUAUGAGAUCAAGAAAGCAUGUUUAUAAUUUGUGGAGUUAAAGGAAAUGAAAAUGUCCUUGCAUUAAGUAAAUCUCAAUUGACUGCAGGUUGAGAUAGAUAGGGAGGCUUGAGGAAACAAAGGUGUGUCAGACAAGCAGAUUCGACUUAAGAUUUUCUCACCAAUUGUUCUUGAUAUCACUUUUGUGGAUCUUCCUGGAAUCACAAAGGUUCCUGUGGGUGACCAGCCCUCUGACAUUGAAGCUCGAAUUAUAACAAUGAUCAUGUCUUACAUUAAACAGCCAAAUUGUCUGAUUCUAGUUGUAACUUCACCAAAUUCAGACUUAACAAAUUCUGAUGCACUGCAAAUUGCAGGAAAUGCUGAUCCUUAUGGUAAUUUUAACUAUCAAAAUUCCAAUUUCUGUAUUGAGUUGUUGUUUGAUAUUUAUUUAAUUGAAUCAUUUUGCUAAUUUUAUGUUGGUAGGUUAUAGAACCAUUGGCAUAAUCACAAAGGUGCAAAUUUUAACUUGAAAUUCUCUUUUCCAGAUUAUGGUACGACUUAUAUGUAAGCUGUUCUAAAUUUCUGAUUAGUUUUGGCUUAUUUGUAUGUGAACUUAUUGGAUAUAACGAAAUUAUUUCCAUCGAAAUUUUUCGUCGAAAAAUACAAAAAAUUUCAUUGAAAAUUUCCAAUGGAAUUCGAAAGAGAUACCCGACCAAAAUCAGAUUUUUCCAACGAAAAUUUCCAACAGAUUUCCAACGAAAAAGUAUUACCGACGGGGUUUUUACCAACAAAAUUUUCAACGGAUUUUUCCAUUGAAAAUCCAUUGGAAAUAGACAUUUCCAACGAAAAUUAGCCUUUUUCGAACAGAAUUUUUCGUUGGAAAAAGGCAUUUUUUUGGUAGUGAAUCGUGUUGAUAACGUGAUAUGAAAUAUAACUUGAAGGAACAACUAUUUAUAGGUUAAUAACCCCAUAUCUAGAUAGAAUUAGAGAGAGAGCAAGUAUUUAGAAGGAGUAAAAGAUCUUAUUCAAAUGUGUAUUUACAAAUAAAGUGAAGGGCCUAUGUAUAGGUUAAUAACCCUUUAUCUAGAUAGAAUUUACAAGAUAAAAAUAAUAUUAAGAGAUUAGAUAGAUGGAUUAAAUUCUAAUUUUAAUCCAAUCUAAUCUACAUCCAAAUCUAGAUAUACGUAACAUAAAUGAACAUUUACAAAAAUAUUCAUAACAAUUAAAAAUAUAUUUAUUCUUUUUAGUUUGGAAAAACGCCUUCCUACUUCCAUCAUUAGAAAACAGACUCAUCCUCUUGAAAAAAUAAUAUAGUGUUAAUAAAAUUACAAACAUUUCCUAUGUUGUUUAUCUAUUUAUUUUUGCCUUUUUCACUUUUCAUCUUUUGUUUUACACAAGAUUUUUUUUACUUGAAUUAUGAUAUUUAGUUAGUUGUGAAAUUAUCUAUAAUUAUUAACAAAUUGAAUUUUAAUUUAAUUUAUUUUCUAAUUCAAAUACAUAUAAAAUAUUUGAAACUUAUCUAUCAAUUAUAUCUAAAUUAAAAUUUUCUUUCAAUAAAAAUAUCUUAAUUAACAUUGAGAUGAAUGUAUUAAAUUAUCUUCAGUUAUAAUAAAUUACCAUUAAUUUGAAAAGUAAAUUAGUAAUAAAGAAAUUGAUUAAUACAAAAAAAGAGAAAUGAAAAAAAAGGGAAGGAAAAUGAGAAAAAAAAAAGAAAAAACAAAGUGAGAUUGCUUUUAAUAUUUGAAGUAAACUUUGAAAAAAAAUUAGCUUGACUAAUAGUAUCCUAAUAUCAAUUACCUUUUUAUAAGAGAUAACAAUGUUUUUCAAAUUAACGGGAGUAAGUUUAUUUUCAAUAAAAUUUCAUGUAUAACAAUUAGUUUUCCUAAUUGAAUUAUAUAUAAUUUAAUAUCUAACACAUAGUUUAAUUAUAAUUUUAUCUAAUUAAAAUUUAUUUUGAUAGUAAUUAAAGAUUAUUUCAAAAUUAAUUAGAUCAUUCAAUUGUAUUUCUAAUUAAUUUAAACUCACAAUUUUGUCACUAUAAAUAAAAGAUAAAAAUAAAAUAUAGAUAGAAACUAAAUAAUAAAGAGUAUACUAGUCUUUUUAUUUUAAAAUUGGUAAUUGAUAAAGGUGAAAGGGUAUUUUUCAAAUUAAUAGAAAAUACAUAUAUUUUCAAACAAAUUUCAAGGGUUUUUUGUAUUUAACCCAUUUAUACUACUUAUAUAAGGUCUUAAAAAGAGAGAAAAAAAAAGAAAUAAAUCAUAUUAUAUACUAAUGAGGUCUUAAAAAUGGGAAAAAAAGAUAAAAUUGAGAAAGAAUUGGUGUAUUAUGUUAGGUUACUAACAAGGCAGUAAUAAAUGCAUGUCGUUGCCACUCGUGCUCUACAGUAGAUACAUAUACAUGUAUAGAAGAAUGAAAAAUGUGUAAUAAAAAUGGAGAGAAAAGAGUGAGUGAGGAGACGAAAUAGGAGCCCAUAAUCACAAAUUCAAAAUGGAAGUGCAAAGGAAUAAUUUAAACUUGUUCAUAUUGUAACCUCCGAUUUAUCGGUUUAAGAAAAUCACAUUUUUCUCAAGCAUAACUCCAUAAUGAAUGGAAUCUCUUUUCUUUUUGAUUUUACAGUAAUAAUUAAUAAAUUACUGUGUGGUUGGGUUUUGGAGAUUUUGAUGGAACUUAUGAUAGUGGGAAAGGAUUUUUCUCAUGGACCCAUUUUCAAAAGUCCAAUGGAGGGGAUUGACAAAGCAAAAUUGAAAAAGAAUAUUUUUCUGUCAUUGUGACGUAUCUUAUGCUAUCAUGUUAUAUUUAUGAUUCCUUCCAUAUCUUAUUUUAAAAUUUUAAUAGGUAUGAUUUUUUUUGGAGGAAAUAUAUCAAGUCGAUCACCGGGACUUUUCAUGUUUGUAUAAGGUACUAUUAUUAUAUUUUUCUCUGACAAAGCAAAAUUAGUUAUGUUAAUUUAUAGAAGUUGUAAUAUAUAAUUUCUCUAUACCAUAAGACUACUAAUUUCUAUGUGAAUGGAAUUAAAAUUAAGAUAUUAAAAUGGUUUAAUUCCCAUUGUAUUGUUUGUUAAUUUGAAUCUUUCUUUCCAUAUAUAGAACUCUAGUGGUUUGUGCUUAACUGACCUAGCAUUUUCACCUUAUCUUAGGCAUUGUUGAUUCACAAAAAGUUUUGGAAUAAAUAAAUUGAGAGACAUUGUGACGAAAAUGGCUACACAAAAAAAUUGAGAUAUUAUCAUCAUCUUUUUGAAUGUUUAAGUAGAGUAUUAACAUUGAGAAUACAAUGUAGUUAGUUUAUCUAGACUUUUGCUCUAUGUGGUAGUUAGUCUUGCCUUACCAAGGUUUUGUCCCAUCCUUUUGGAUUAGAGGUUUGGGAGGUUUUGUUUAUUUCUUGUAAGGCUUGGUGCAUUUCAGCUUUGUUGGGAUGGCAGAAGAUAUCAAGGCAAGUGGGGUAAACUUUUGUUAAUAAAGGAAGAGCAAACUGAAGUCAUUGUUGAAAAAGAAUGAGGCACUGUGGUGUUUGCAUCAUUAUUUGAGCUCAUUAUGCUCUAGAGUUCUUAAUGUCAAGUAUUUUUCGAAUUUCUCAUUUUAAGAUGCAUGGCAUAACAUUUUGGAAAGGAGGGACACGAUUACGGUUGGCUCGUAUGGAGAGUGAGUGUAGAUGCUUGAUUUUGGCUAGGAAUAUAUUAUCUUUUUAAUAUUAUAUUAAAUUAUUUUACAAUGAUCAUAUUACUAUACAACGAGUAAUGAGGGUGAACAGAAUGAGUAGCACAACUACAUUAUUAUGGAUGAUAGUCAAAUUAACUUUAGACGAGUAGUAGGGUUCACAACUUAGUUUCAUCAUUAUGAUAAUUUAAAGAGUUUGACUUGGUGGCUAAAAUAUGAAAAUAGUUAUACAGGCCUUUUUCUUAAUCUUUUUGUAUAAGUACGAGUGCUUUUCCCUUUUCCUCUUCCCUCAAGAAGAAGUAACACUUUUAGUGUCAUGAAACCACACUAUGCCAUUACUUGUAUAAACAUCUACUAGAAUCCACUAUCCCAUACAAAAUAUGGGUAACGUGUUUCUCCCCAUUGUGCACAUUAAACUCUUUUUCAAGUAAAUGCUCUUGAGUUACUACUCCAACUUGGUUUAUAAAUAAGAGCUUUGAGAAUUCAUUCACGGAUUUUGCUUUCCUUUCUAAGUUCUCUCUAAACACUUCCUCUUCAAUUAUCUCAUACUUAGCUUUUCCCUAGCCUUAUUCUUUGUCUUGCUCUGUUGCUUCCUUAUUCUCUACAUUUUUUCCAUCAUUACUUGCUACAACAUUCAACAUUUCAAAGAUUACUUUAAUUUUCUUCUCUGUCACCUCCCAACAGAUCUUGUUUUACUUAUUUGUAACACUAUUUUCUCCCUAUCACUAAAAACCCCUUUACAUUUUGGUGACUCCAUUAAGGAGGAGUGCUUGCGCUAAUUAAAGUCUCAUAAAAACAAACCUUGCACUAGUGGAAAAUAUGGACGGUUCCUACAAAGAGUAAGAUGCAUUUGAACCUACAUACAUCUAAGACUUGAUGAAAAUGCUUUAGGCUUCUUAAGAAUAUAUGCAAAUAUUGAAGGAUAACAAUAAGCAAUCUCAAGCUCAACCUGCGCAUCUUAAUGGUAGCAAAAAUGUAACUAAUGGAACCACCCCCAACUAUAAACACAAAAGGGAAUGGAGAAAGUAUUGGUGAUGUGGUAGUUGUCAAAAAUCCCAAUAUGACUAAUCCCUUUAUUAUUGUAACUUUCUUGUAGUCACUCUGGUAACCACUGCUUAAAGCUUUGUGAUCAAAUAAAAACUCUAAAAGCUGCAUGAUCAGAAGAAUAAAAGCUUGAACAUUUAGGUGUUUGACUUUAUCUAGCCAUUGUAGCAAUUAAUCCAUACCCUAAAAGCUACUUAUGUCCUAAGUUCGAGAAAUUCAAUGUUAUGAUCAGGGAUGCUUGAGAGAAUGUAAUGAAGUUUUUAGGAACUCUCAGAGUAAUGGGAUUAGAUGAUGAUCUCAAAUUGAAGGAGUUUUCAAAGUUUCUUACUAUUGACUCCAUAUGUUUUUGAUAAUAAUAAAACAUUCCUCAUUCUUUAAUUUUUAACUAUGUUACUCGAGUGUGUAAGGGUAAAAUGGGUAUAUUAAUGUUUAUCUCAUAUCCAAAUUCCCCAUGAUAAGUCCCAAGCCCAAAGAAAAUGAUUCUAGCAAGAUGAAAGCCAUCUCAUGAGGUUUAAUCGAUCAUAAUUUCAUCUUAAUCGACGAAAACAGUAAAAAAGGAAGACUUAAAAGCUUCAUAGAGAGAUUUUAAUCGAUUAAUAUACAGUUUAAUCGAUUAAAAUAACAUUGGAAUGGACUUUGAGAAGGAGAGAGAGGUUUUAAUCAAUUAGCACAUAUUUUAAUCGAUUAAAACAACAUUGUAAUGCACACUGAGACAAGUAAAGAGAUUUUAAUCGAUUAACACAAAAUUUAAUAAAUUAAAAUAGUACUGGAAGAUGAUGCACACAAAGUUAAUUGAUUAACCAUAGGGUUUAAUUGAUUAAAAUUUAAUAUGAAGAUAUUUUGUGCCAAAAUUGAGGAUUCAAGUUUUUGUUAACCGUUGAAGGGUACCAAGUGAAGAAGUUUGAACCCAAGGAGAUUUUAAUUGAUCAAAAUUUAGUUUAAUUGAUCAAAGAAGAAAUAAAGAGCUUUUAAUCAAUCAAAGACAAGUUUAAAUGAUUAAGUUGGAGCAAUGGGGACGAUAGAAUGAUUUUAAUAGAUUAAAACCAGUUUUAAUUGAUUAACUUGAAGAAACUAAAAGACAAAUAAAAAGAUUUUAAUUGGUUAAAAUCCAUUUUAAUCGACUAAAAUGUCAAACAUAUUUGAAUUUAAUGCCCCUAAAAGACAAAUUAAUGGGUUGAUUGGCUUCAAAUUAUCUGCGACAAUCUGAUUUCACUCUUCAAGUAUAAAUAAGGGUUUAAAUAGUCAUAAAUAUAUUGUUGGCUCCAUUAGUUUUUGAUGAUAAUAAAAAAUUUCCAUUUAUUUAUGUCUAAUAUCUUUACUUGAGUGUGUAGGAAAAUUAAUAUAUGAAAUUAAUUAUUUAACUCUUCAAAGAUUAUAUCAAAAGAAAAAGAGGGAUAAAAAUAACAAGAUGUAACUGUUUAACAAGGAAGAAGCCUAUUGGUGAAACAAGGAAGAAUGUUGGUUGACCAAGUUUCAAAUUGGAAGAAUGGCAGGCUGAAGAGUUUGAGAAACAGAACCAACUUAAUCGACCAAGUCAGUCGACUAAGUGCUCUAUGUUAGAAUCUGCAACUUGAAACAGAACCAACUUAGUAGACCAACUCAGUUGACUAAGUGCUCUUUGUCUGCAAAUUGAACCAGAGCACUACAAGACAGAUUAACGGUUAGAACUCAUCCUCAACUGUUUCCAACGGGCAUAAAAUUACCAAAUUGCCAUCAGAGUUGCAUCUCUAACUAUAAAAGGGUCUUCCAACAAUUAGAAACAAGUUUUUUAGAAGCCUUGAAUGAGAUUUGAGCUAUGGAGAGUUGAAAAACCAGAAAAUCUUCACUGCACUUGUCUGCACUUAAACACCUACUCUUUGCAUUUGUAUUUUGCACUCAAUCUUGUACCAAUUAGAUCAACCAGUGAUCACAGGUACUUUCUUUUACUACUCUUCUUGUAUUCUUAGAGUGAGGAAGUCACUCUAAGGGGUUGUUCAAGCUUGGGAUAGCUUGAUUAUUGUAGGUUGUGGUUGAGCCUUUGAAAAAUCACUUUGGGUUUUGGUUGAGCCCGUGAAAAACCAUUGUGAAAGGUUGUGGUUGAGCUUGUGAAAAACCACUUUGGAUUUUGGUUGAUCCUGGUAAAAACCAUUGUGAAAGGUUUUGGCUAGGCUUGGUAAAAGCCAUUGUAAAGCUUAGUGAAAGCUUGUGAAUUUCACCGGUUAUUAGUGGAUUGUUUGGAAAAUCCUUGGUUGAACAAUCAAGGUAGUGGAUAUAGGUCUUGGAUCGAAUUACUAUAAAUAGCCGUGUGUUUGUCUGUUCUGUUUUCAGUUUUUAUUCAUCUUUAAGUUCUUUCUUUUAUUGUGCAUUUAUCUCUAAUUAGAGGUUUGUCAAGCUCAGCUUUACAAUAUGUUUAUUAUGUCAUUCCUACAUAAGAAUGCAUGUUUGCUUACUUGGGUACCUCGAAAAUCGUUAAAGAACGACAAUGUACCAAAUAGUACAACUAAGUUGAUUUAAGCCUUGAACUAGUCCAUAUAGAGAUUUUAAGAUGAAAUUGAGAAUUUUAAAACCCCAUAAUCACUUAAAAUGGUGAUUCGGAGUUCGAGGACCGAUUUGAAGUCAAAUUAGAAUUUUCAUAACCUAGGGGCAAAAUGGUCAUUUUUCCAGUCGAGGUUAAAAUUGGAAUGUUGGAAGAAGUUUUUGAUCAAGAUUGACUAUUUAGAACAUAAUUUGAGUUUGAGAAGUGAAAAAUUUUAAUUCCGACAUUUUUCCAAGCAUAAGGGAAAAAUAGUCAUUUUGCCACCCUAGGGGUAAAAUUGUAAUUUUACACCACCCAACACUUGUCCAGCACAUGGAUUUUACCCAAUAUUAUCAUGGAUAAUUGAGAAAAUUUAAGUGGUGGAGAGAGAUUGCUUAAUGGGUAAGUAUGACACAUGGACCAAUGGAAUGGUGACAUGUGUCAAAUUUUCAUCCAUUUAUUAUUUAGCUUAAAAAUUAGCACAAAAUCAGCCCAUUUCUCUUCAUAUGGCCGGCCAAAGCAAGAACAAAGGAAGAAAAGAAAGAAAAAGAACCCUAGGGUGAAAAUUCAAGAGAAAAUUGGUGGACUUCAAGUAAUCAAGCAAUCAAAGGUAAAAUUUCUUGAUUUUGACUUGUGAUCUACCUUUCCCAUACAGUCUUUUGCAUUUUUCAUGGUUGAAUCACAUGAUUUCAUGAUGGGUAUCUUGCUGGCUGAACACUUAGAGAGAGGUUUUGAUGCUUGAUUUGGUUAGAUUUCAAUGUAUUUUAGUGUUUUUAGUUGAUUGGUGAUGUGUAGCAUGAAAAUCAAGCAAGAAAAAUUCAUGUUCUUCCAUCACCCAUCAUUGGCCGAAUUCUCCAUAUAGAAUAUUGAUGAUGAUUUUGAUUUUUAUUCAAGUGAUUUGGUUAGGAAUUAGUGAUUUAUGGUGCGAGAAUCAAGCUUGAAAAAUUAUAGUGUUGAUGCACCCACCAUGGCCGAAUUUUCAAGAGAAAAUGUGAGGAUGAUUUUGCCAUAGUUCAAGUUAUUUGAUUUGUGUUUGAUGAUUUGGAGAAUUGGAAGAAAAAUGGGGUUAAUUGGAGUUGAAUUGGACGUAUUGACCAAUUAAUCGGGUGAUAGAUCGAAUUAGGCCAAUACCAUUUUAUUUAGGUACAUAAUUGAAUUUAUAUUGAACACCGUGUUUAGACGAUAAUCCGAACAAUUUACAUCUCAUUUCAUGCAUUAGUAAAGAACCUGAAAUAGAUUUAUAAUGGUAUGACACAGUAUAUUGAAUUAUGUGUCAUGUAUUGUAUAUAGGUGGUGAAUCCUCCGAUAAAAGCAAAGAAAUUGUACUUGAGGAUCGAUAGUCGGAGUACUUUAAAAAUUUGACUCUCGAUAUAGUGAGUAACCUUACUAUUGUCUUAAAUAUUUAAAGUGGUUUUUAUCCGAUUUUGUGAUUUUAUGAAAAAUGAGUUUAAAUGGUAAAUCUUUAUAUUUUAAAAGAAAAAUGUGAUUAAAUGAUAUGAUUUUAUAAAAUUGUCUUGAAAUUGAAUGAUGGUUUUGGAAAAUUGAGUAAUUGGAGACUAAUUGUUGUGUUAUAAAUCAUGGUUUGAAUUGAAUGGCUUAUGAUAAUAUUUGCUUGAAUGGUUGAAUUGGAAAUUAUGUUGAAAAUGUAUGAACUGUUGAUUUGCCUUGAGAGGCUAUAAAAUAAAAUAAUUGUCAUGUUAUGCUUUUGAAAAUUUUAUUGAAUUGGUGGGUUAUAUAUUGGUCACUGCAGUGGACGAGUUUCGUGGACCAGCCUAUUAAAGGGGCACGGUAACCCUAUUAUAUUCUUACCUCAUUAUGAGAGGCGCGGAUGGAUAACUCCUGAGGUUAACACUUUAGAGUUCACUUCACGCUAAACCACCAUGUGAGGGUGAACUCAGCAAAUGCCAAGGAACGGCUAUGUUUUCAAAGUAAAAACAUGAUUUAUACGUACAUGACUUUUUAAUAGCCUUGGUGGACUCGAUUGGGAUAGCUCUCGGCCAAGGUAUCCUUGAUAACUGAGUAUGAGAAUGAUUUUAGCACGAGCCAAAGUUUUAAGAAAUUCAUAAGCCAUGUUGAUUACUCAAUUUAUAUGAAUUGAUUUUAUUUGGUUGAAAUGAGUUGAAAGGUGAUGAAUUACAGUAUGUUAAACUAUUUUAUUUGUCUCCAUUUACUCAGCUUUAGAUAUUUUAGAUGGUAUUUGUUUGCUCACUGGGAUUAUAUAAUCUCAUCACCCUUAUUUUCACCCAUUUAAAG